This 1491-nucleotide long non-coding RNA is filed under the name Sus scrofa (pig). RNAcentral describes it as "lncRNA (ENSSSCG00005041265.1)". The record is from RNAcentral. Lineage: Eukaryota; Metazoa; Chordata; Mammalia; Artiodactyla; Suidae.
CUCUUUGUGCGGUAAACUCGUGGCUGGUGAGGAUGACCGUCGCGGAGUUCGCCUGGCUUUUGCUGCGAAACCGUCCCCAAAGGCGGGGGAGGGUGCCGCCCGGCACAUUUGCUUAGCUGCGCACAUGCAGGUACCUCGGGGCCCUGUUCGGUGAAGGGAUCACAGUCUAGGGCUGAGCAGGAUGAACUCCCAUUACAGACUAGAGUUUCUGAUGUCGCUCUGACGCUACUGCUCGGAACUGACCCAGCCCGGGUCAGGGGGGGCUCGUCUAAAGUCGCCGAGUCUUUGCUGACUCACUUGUUUCUUCCCAGGCCCCUGGUGCUCGAAGGAAGAUCCGCAGCGCGACGAGGGAGCGUAAGAUGUCCACAUCUUAAAUGGCCGCACUCGCUGCGUAAGUCCAGGGCCAAGGAUCGAAGCCCAGCCGCAGAAGCACGGAAUCCUUUAACCUGCAUCAGGCUGGGGAUAGAACCCGCACCUCCGCAGCGACCCCAGCAGCUGCAGUCGUAUUUUUAACACAGUGCGCAAGAGCGGGAACUCCUUAUUUUUGAAUAAGGCCCGAGAGCUCCUUAUCUUUGAAGCCCAGCCAGGGGCUGUCCCUUUCAGAGAUCUGGGCUAGACUGGAAAGAUUCUGGAAGGCCUAAGGUUUGGAAUUCUCUUGAAGAGCUGACAGGAUGGCUGUGGUGCCCAUAUAGUGGUUCCUGCCACUUGAACAGGCUGUGAGAAGUGGAGAAGAUGCCUUCAGCUUGGGUUCUGUGAACUUUGCAGACACAAAAGGAUGUCCUCUCUGGUGUUGGACAGAUCUUGGGAGCUUCACAUCUUUCCUGCAUUAACACAUGGGAGCAGCUAUCAACUCUUCCGAGCCAGGCGAACUGCCUAGAAAUUUGGGGACCCUUAAAUAUCAAUUAGGUGGUCUUCACUUCUUUACUUGGUUUUAGCAAAAGGAUUCCAAUAAAAUAUUUAAAAGUAAAUGAAAAAUAGAUUGGUCUUAGGCCAUAGCAACCACCAGAGCCACUGCAGUGACAACACCAGAUCCUUGACCUGCUGCGCCUCAAGGGAAAUCCUGAUAGUUGAGGUUUUUAUGAGACUGUUACAACAGUUAUCCAUUUGGCUUUUGAUGAGUUUGGUGAAAACAUAGAUUGUUCAGAUAUAUUUUGAAAGAAUUCUAUUCCUGGUGGUUGCCAGGGGCUGAGGAGGAGAAAAUGAGCAGUUAUUAAUGGGUUUAGAGUUUCAGUUGCCCAGCAUGAAAAGAAUGCAUGGGGGUGAAAGGUGGUAGUUCCACAAUGUUAUGAAUGUAUCAUCAGUGAAUUGUUUGCUUAAAGUGGUAAAAAUGGUAAGUUUUAUGUUUAUUUCACCCCAAUAAAAAAAUGGGGAAAAUCUCUGUGUUCCUUUUUGUCACUAUCACAAAGGGGGUUCUAAAAUUGGAAUUUCACAGUUCAAGGAAUUGGACAUUGAAGGUGACUUGUGUCAUUUGCUCUAUAAAUUGGUCCCAGC